AUGCCCUCGGUCCAUGUGGCUACUUCGGAGCAAGUGGGAGAGGGCGGCGGGAGGCACUGCGGGGGCAGGCGCGGCGGGCAGCUCAGGGGCAGCGGCGGGGUCCUGGCGAGGGGAGGACGGGGUUGCGGCGGGGGGAACGGUGUCUCCUUCACUUCGCCCUCCAGCCCCGGCAGCUGUAUCCUUUUCUUCAGAUCACCCCUUCCCACGGCCUCGCUAUGGCGACCUACGGGCAGAGCUGCGCGCGGCGUAAGUAGAGCAGGGAUUUGUGCUGAAUGGGGUUGGGUGACCGGCGAGAUGGAAUCUGUAGACCAGAAAACCGCAGCUUCUCCCAUCCCAUCUCUCCAAAGACUUGGAAAUUCGGUCCCUUCCGGUAGCCACUCUACAGCGUGAUCACCCGGGCUCUGCGGAGGAGGGACUGCUGGAUUCUCGAGUGGAGGGUCUAGGCCGCGGGAAUUGGUCUCUGGUCCUAUUCACCUCCAGCUAUUGGAUGUGUCUUUGGCCAGCAAAAAAAAGCAGAGAGUCAUUAAUUGUGGGAUUCCACCUUUCAAGGAUUGGAUUGCUCACCGUUUAGAGGAAGUAGUCUUCUUGAGUGUGCAAGGUCAUUCAUUACAUGUGCUCCUGAGGGCGUGGACAU
RNAcentral lists this long non-coding RNA (634 nucleotides) under Dasypus novemcinctus (nine-banded armadillo). Its description in RNAcentral is "lncRNA (ENSDNOG00000051238.1)". Lineage: Eukaryota; Metazoa; Chordata; Mammalia; Cingulata; Dasypodidae. The record is from RNAcentral.